GCUUACAUAGCACAGUGGCAGUGCACCGCCUUGGUAAGGCGGAGGUCUCGGGUUCGAACCCCGAUGUAAGCUCCA
Molecule: transfer RNA, 75 nt
Filed under: Christensenellaceae bacterium
Lineage: Bacteria; Bacillati; Bacillota; Clostridia; Christensenellales; Christensenellaceae
Description: tRNA-Thr
Rfam family: tRNA
About the family: Transfer RNA (tRNA) molecules are approximately 80 nucleotides in length. Their secondary structure includes four short double-helical elements and three loops (D, anti-codon, and T loops).
Source: RNAcentral